This 230-nucleotide ribosomal RNA is filed under the name Anoplocnemis phasianus. RNAcentral's name for it is "partial large subunit ribosomal RNA". The record is from RNAcentral. Lineage: Eukaryota; Metazoa; Arthropoda; Insecta; Hemiptera; Coreidae.
CGCAGUAUUUUGACUGUGCGAAGGUAGCAUAAUCAUUUGUCUUUUAAUUGAAGGCUUGUAUGAAUGGUUGGACGAGAAAUAAACUUUCUUUAUCUAAAUUCUGUGAAUUUAAUUUUUGAGUUAAAAAGCUUAAAUGUUUUUGCAAGACGAGAAGACCCUAUAGAAUUUUAUUAAAAUGGUUAUAUUUGUUCUUUGGUUAAUAAUUUGAUAAAUAUGAUUAUUUUAAUUUU